RNAcentral lists this ribosomal RNA (410 nucleotides) under uncultured bacterium. RNAcentral's name for it is "bacterial SSU rRNA". It matches the Rfam family "Bacterial small subunit ribosomal RNA", at positions 370 to 772 of the family's 1533-position model. The record is from RNAcentral.
AAUGGGGGAAACCCUGAUGCAGCCAUGCCGCGUGUGUGAAGAAGGCCUUCGGGUUGUAAAGCACUUUCAGCGAGGAGGAAAGGUCAGUAGCUAAUAUCUGCUGGCUGUGACGUUACUCGCAGAAGAAGCACCGGCUAACUCCGUGCCAGCAGCCGCGGUAAUACGGAGGGUGCAAGCGUUAAUCGGAAUUACUGGGCGUAAAGCGCACGCAGGCGGUUGGAUAAGUUAGAUGUGAAAGCCCCGGGCUCAACCUGGGAAUUGCAUUUAAAACUGUCCAGCUAGAGUCUUGUAGAGGGGGGUAGAAUUCCAGGUGUAGCGGUGAAAUGCGUAGAGAUCUGGAGGAAUACCGGUGGCGAAGGCGGCCCCCUGGACAAAGACUGACGCUCAGGUGCGAAAGCGUGGGGAGCAAA